RNAcentral lists this transfer RNA (72 nucleotides) under Camelus bactrianus (Bactrian camel). It matches the Rfam family "tRNA". From Rfam's summary of the family: Transfer RNA (tRNA) molecules are approximately 80 nucleotides in length. Their secondary structure includes four short double-helical elements and three loops (D, anti-codon, and T loops). The record is from Rfam by way of RNAcentral. RNAcentral also lists the same sequence under 2 other names. Lineage: Eukaryota; Metazoa; Chordata; Mammalia; Artiodactyla; Camelidae.
GGCGGGAUAGCUCAGUGGUAGAGCAUAUGCUUAGCACGCACCAGGUCCUGGGUUUAAUCCCCAGUACCCCCA